GAGUUUGAUCAUGGCUCAGAGCGAACGCUGGCGGCAUGCUUAACACAUGCAAGUCGCACGGUCAGCAAUGGCAGUGGCGGACGGGUGAGUAACACGUAGGAAUCUAUCUCUGGGUGGGGGACAACAGUGGGAAACUACUGCUAAUACCGCAUGAUACCUGAGGGUCAAAGGCGUAAGUCGCCUGGAGAGGAGCCUGCGUCUGAUUAGCUUGUUGGUGGGGUAAAGGCCUACCAAGGCUACGAUCAGUAGCUGGUCUGAGAGGAUGAUCAGCCACAUUGGGACUGAGACACGGCCCAAACUCCUACGGGAGGCAGCAGUGGGGAAUAUUGGACAAUGGGCGAAAGCCUGAUCCAGCAAUGCCGCGUGUGUGAAGAAGGUCUUCGGAUUGUAAAGCACUUUUGGCAGGGACGAUGAUGACGGUACCUGCAGAAUAAGCCCCGGCUAACUUCGUGCCAGCCGCCGCGGUAAC
This 469-nucleotide ribosomal RNA is filed under the name bacterium enrichment culture clone ALO1_GLFRUDD03FQR44. Its description in RNAcentral is "bacterial SSU rRNA". It matches the Rfam family "Bacterial small subunit ribosomal RNA", at positions 9 to 524 of the family's 1533-position model. The record is from RNAcentral.